Molecule: transfer RNA, 72 nt
Filed under: Camelus bactrianus (Bactrian camel)
Lineage: Eukaryota; Metazoa; Chordata; Mammalia; Artiodactyla; Camelidae
Also listed under: 2 other names
Rfam family: tRNA
About the family: Transfer RNA (tRNA) molecules are approximately 80 nucleotides in length. Their secondary structure includes four short double-helical elements and three loops (D, anti-codon, and T loops).
Source: Rfam by way of RNAcentral
GAGGGUAUAGCUUAGUGGUAGAGUGCGUGCUUAGCAUACACAAGGUCUGGGGUUCAAUUCCCAGUACCUCCG